GUCUUUUUGAGUUAUUUUAAAAGUCUGACCUGCCCACUGAAUUUUUUUAAAUGGCCGCAGUAUUCUAACUGUGCAAAGGUAGCAUAAUCAUUAGUCUUUUAAUUGAAGGCUGGUAUGAACGGUUGGACGAAGUAUAAGCUGUUUCAUGUAAAUUUACAGUAGAAUUUUAUAUUUUAGUCAAAAAGCUAAAAUGUAAUUAAAAGACGAGAAGACCCUAUAAAUCUUUAUAUUUUAUUUAAUUUAAAUUUUUUUGAUUUUUUUUAUUUUUAUUAUAUUAAAUAUUUUGUUGGGGUGAUAUUAAAAUUUGAUGAACUUUUAAUUGUUUUAAAUCAUUAAUUUAUGAAUUAUUGAUCCAUUAGUAGUGAUUAUAAGAUUAAGUUACUUUAGGGAUAACAGCGUAAUUUUUUUGGAGAGUUCUUAUCGAUAAAAAAGUUUGCGACCUCGAUGUUGAUUAAGAUAUAGAUUUAGGUGUAGCCGCUUAAAUACUGAGUCUGUUCGACUUUUAAAUUCUU
This 512-nucleotide ribosomal RNA is filed under the name Dacus chiwira. RNAcentral describes it as "partial 16S ribosomal RNA". The stretch from base 389 to 512 matches the Rfam family "Bacterial large subunit ribosomal RNA", at positions 2473 to 2597 of the family's 2925-position model. RNAcentral also lists the same sequence under 1 other name. Lineage: Eukaryota; Metazoa; Arthropoda; Insecta; Diptera; Tephritidae. The record is from RNAcentral.